GGAAGAAACUGAAUACAACAAUCAAUAUAUAUUAUUUUUAAUUAUUGCUUGUAAUUAUUGCGAUAAUGUUGAUUCGAAUUAUUACCAAAUAAAACAAAAUUUCGAAAAUAUUCUAAAGUGAUUUGUCAUGCAUUAAUAUUAAUUGCUUAUGGGCAUUUUUCCAACGAAAUCAAAUCCAAUUCAUCACGUGCAACACCUCUCCCAUUUAAUCACCAUUCUUUUCUUUUCAUUUACUUCCCGUGCACCCCCUUUUUUUCUUUUUUUCCUUCCUUCAUUUUUUCCUUUUGUUUUUCUUUUUCCUUUUUUCUUCUUUUUUUUUUCUUUUCCCUUUUUUCUCUUUUAUUCUUUUUCUUUUCUUUUUCUUUCUUUUUCCUUUUCAUUUUUUUGUUCUAUUUUUUUGUUCUUUUUUUUUUCUUUUCUUUUUUCCAAAAAAGAAUCAAAUCAAAUAAAAAAGUAAAAAAAUUAAAUCAAAUACCAAAUAGUAAAAUAAAAAUUAAAAAUACCUAAAUAAAAAUAAAAUAAGACAAAAAUAAAAACAAGUUCAUUUAUUUAUUCAACCAAACGAAAUUGGGUGUUGACAACUGCCCCUCUUUACUUAGAAUUUACUAGGUAAUAUGAAAACUUGAUGUUUUCAUAUUAUCUGAGUAAAAGCUAAGUAAAGAAAGAAACACUAAUUUCGUUUGGGUUUCAAAAAGAGAAAGAGGAAAAAAUAGAAGAAACAAUCCAAAUAGAUAUGAUUACAAAUAUCAAUGAAGAGUACCAAGAUGCAACCAAGAGAGUUCGACCAUUGCGAAGCAAAGGGCCGAUAACAAAAUGAAACCUGGAUUUGACCAUUGCCUUGCAGAGGGC
Molecule: long non-coding RNA, 849 nt
Filed under: Vigna radiata
Lineage: Eukaryota; Viridiplantae; Streptophyta; Magnoliopsida; Fabales; Fabaceae
Description: long non-coding RNA (VRAD_LNC011484)
Source: RNAcentral